Molecule: ribosomal RNA, 250 nt
Filed under: uncultured prokaryote
Description: partial 16S ribosomal RNA
Rfam family: Bacterial small subunit ribosomal RNA
Source: RNAcentral
UACGUAGGGGGCGAGCGUUAUCCGGAUUCACUGGGCGUAAAGGGAGCGUAGACGGCGGACUAAGUCCGGGGUGAAAACACGGGGCCCAACCCCGUGCCUGCCCCGGAUACUGGCCUGCUGGAGUGCGGGAGAGGUGUGCGGAAUUCCUGGUGUAGCGGUGAAAUGCGUAGAGAUCAGGAGGAACACCGGUGGCGAAGGCGGCACACUGGACCGCGACUGACGUUGAGGCUCGAAGGCGUGGGGAGCAAAC